Molecule: unclassified non-coding RNA, 286 nt
Organism: Mesocricetus auratus (golden hamster)
Lineage: Eukaryota; Metazoa; Chordata; Mammalia; Rodentia; Cricetidae
Gene: 7SK
Rfam family: 7SK RNA
About the family: 7SK was discovered as an abundant small nuclear RNA in the mid-70s but a possible function has only recently been suggested. Two independent studies have found that 7SK RNA binds the CDK9/cyclin T complex (known as elongation factor P-TEFb).
Source: Ensembl
AAAUUUGAGGGUGAUUUUGCUGCAGUGUCUACUACCCUAUUGAUCACCAGCAUUGACUAGAUUGAUCUAGCUGGAUAGACAGGUGUCCCCUUCCUCCCUCACAAUUCUAUGUGUCUCUCUGGCAUGCUUGGUCUAAGAGGAUAGCCUCAAACCAAAUAGAGGAGGAGCAAUCUUUAGUGGUGGGGGUACAGCAGUAACUACCUUCAUCUCUGGAUCCUUCAAACAAGCUCUCAAAAAAAGGCCCAGCCUGUAAUGUUUCAGACACCAUGGGGCUCUGGACUUUUUA